Molecule: long non-coding RNA, 1904 nt
Organism: Piliocolobus tephrosceles (Ugandan red Colobus)
Lineage: Eukaryota; Metazoa; Chordata; Mammalia; Primates; Cercopithecidae
Source: Ensembl
CUAACACAUUAUUGCUAACUUGUUUUUUUUUUUUUUUUUUUUUUUUUUUUUAUUUAUUUAUUUUUUUUUUGGCAUAUUUUUUACUAACUCCGGCAUAAAAUUUAUUACAUCCACUUCUCUCGUUUCACCCAUACAGCAAUUUGUUAUUAUGAUUGGCUCAUAAGUACAUAUAAAUAUAUAUAUAUAUAUAAUAGAUAAAAUGAAAAUUGAUCGUAAAUGAUUCAAUUAAUUGAACUAAUUAAUCUAUUCGAAAAUAAAUCAAAUACAAAAUAAAUUAAAAAAAAAAACAAUAAAUUAAAAAAAAAAACAAUAAAUUAAACAAAAAAAAUAAAUAAAUAAAUAAAUAAGCAUACAAAAUAUGGGACGUAUAGCCAUUUAAAAAAAAAAAAAAUGAAAACAUAUUUGGUUUACUUCUUUGUAUUUUUUUUAUGUGUAACUUUACACAUAGCAAUAGUAGACGCACAUAAAGCAAGUACUGGCACUAAUACAGAUACUGGUACUCAAAGUGUAAAAAUGAAGGAGAUAAGAGCAACCAAAGUGAGAGUAAUUUAAGUGAAGGAAACAGUUCCACAAAUAGUAAUAAAAAAACAUCUAAAAAAAAAGUUAAAAAAGUUAAAAAAACUAAGAAAGAUAAAAUCAAAGAACAAGAAGAAACAAAUACAAACGAUUCUGUGAAUGGUAUAAAUGAUAAUUCGGAAAAAGAAUUUAUAAAAAAGUAUUAUACUAAUGAGAAAGAGUUACAAAAAAAUGAAGGUGAAAGUGGUGAAGUAGCUAGUGAAAAAGUUAAUGAAAAAGUUAGUGAAAAAGUUAGUGAAGUAGCUAGCCAAUUAGGUAAAGAAAAAGAUCAAAACGUUGUGAAAGGUGAAAACGAAGAGGAAGAAGAAGAAGGAGAAGAAGAAGAAGAAGAUGAAGAAAACGAAGAGAAUAGUCAAGACGAUAUAGAGGUAGCUAGUAAAACGCCUAGUAGUGAUGUAAAUAUUGAAACAGCCAAAACGCAAAAUAAAAAUGUAAAUAAAGAACAUAGCAAUAAAGCAAGUACCAAAGAAGAUAAUAAGGCCAGUACUACAACAACUACUACACAGGGUGCUAGAGCUACUACAAAAAGAAGUAGUAAUACAACUACUAACACUGCUAGUACUGCCAGUAGUACCGGUACAACUACUACAAAAAAAACACCCAAUAAAGCAUCAACACCAACAUCAACAGUAGGAAAAUCACAAAAAGUAAAUGAAGAUAAACAAAAAGUAAACAAAAAAGAAGAAAUACCAAAAAUGAAUGAUUAUGAUACAAAAAAACCAGAUGUUUAUAAUUUUUUGGAUAAUGAUGAAAAUGAUGAUGACGAUGAUGAUUCAUCUGAUCAUGACGAUUUAACAUAUUUAUGGAACCAAAAUAUGAAAAAUUUUGAACCAACAACUUUAUUAACGUUUGAAAUAGGAGCAAAUGUAGAAGAAUUUUUAUUUGAGGAAAUUGAAAAAUUAAAUGUAUACUUUCGUGGUUUGUUUUAUUCUAAUGAUGAUCAUGAUGAAAACGAAAUUGAAUUUAUUAUUUCAGACCCAGAUGGCCAAACAGUAUAUAGAAAAGAAGCUAGUGAAGGUAUUUUUUAUUUUUAUACUAAAAAGAUUGGAAUAUAUACUAUUAUAAUAAAAAAUCAUAAAUGGAUUGAAAAGAAGACAAUAACUGUUGCUAUAGGACUAGGUAAAAGUCCAUCUCUUAAAUCUGAUCAUGUACAAGAUUUUACAAAUUAUAUAGAAAAAAUUGUUUCAGAAACAAAUAAAUUAAAAAACGAAAUAAAAUAUUUAGCAUCUAAACAUAGCUCACAUAUUGAAAAAAUGAAAAAAAUAACUAACAAAGCUUUUUUAUAUUGUUUUAUUAAAUUAUUUGUUCUUAUCUUUUUGUCACUAUUU